GGCGGCAUGCCUUACACAUGCAAGUCGAACGGCAGCACGGGGGCAACCCUGGUGGCGAGUGGCGAACGGGUGAGUAAUACAUCGGAACGUGUCCUGUAGUGGGGGAUAGCCCGGCGAAAGCCGGAUUAAUACCGCAUACGAUCUACGGAAGAAAGCGGGGGAUCGCAAGACUUCGCGCUAUAGGGGCGGCCGAUGGCAGAUUAGCUAGUUGGUGGGGUAAAGGCCUACCAAGGCGACAAUCUGUAGCUGGUCUGAGAGGACGACCAGCCACACUGGGACUGAGACACGGCCCAGACUCCUACGGGAGGCAGCAGUGGGGAAUUUUGGACAAUGGGGGAAACCCUGAUCCAGCAAUGCCGCGUGUGUGAAGAAGGCCUUCGGGUUGUAAAGCACUUUUGUCCGGAAAGAAAACUUCUGCCCUAAUACGGUGGGANGAUGACGGUACCGGAAGAAUAAGCACCGGCUAACUACGUGCCAGCAGCCGCGGUAAUACGU
RNAcentral lists this ribosomal RNA (495 nucleotides) under uncultured beta proteobacterium. Its description in RNAcentral is "bacterial SSU rRNA". It matches the Rfam family "Bacterial small subunit ribosomal RNA", at positions 38 to 528 of the family's 1533-position model. Lineage: Bacteria; Pseudomonadati; Pseudomonadota; Betaproteobacteria. The record is from RNAcentral.